GGCUACCUAGCGCAAUGGUAGCGCGUUUGGCUUCGAUUGCUUAACGGUUACACCAAAAGGUUGCAGGUUCGAGUCCUGCGGUGGUCA
This is a transfer RNA of 87 nucleotides. It matches the Rfam family "tRNA". From Rfam's summary of the family: Transfer RNA (tRNA) molecules are approximately 80 nucleotides in length. Their secondary structure includes four short double-helical elements and three loops (D, anti-codon, and T loops).